AAUGAACGUUGGCGGCGUGGAUUAGGCAUGCAAGUCGAGCGAGAAAUUGUGAUCUGAUCCUUCGGGUGAAGUGAUCAAUGGAAAGCGGCAAACGGCGUAGUAAUGCGUAGGUACGUACCCUCGGAUCGGGAAUAGCCACGGGAAACUGUGGGUAAUGCCCGAUAAUGUCUGUGGACCAAAGGUGUGAUUCCGUCCGAGGAGCGGCUUACGUGAUAUUAGCUUGUUGGUGGGGUAAUGGCCUACCAAGGCUACGAUGUCUAGGGGGUGUGAGAGCAUGGCCCCCACGACCGGAACUGAGACACUGUCCGGACACCUACGGGUGGCUGCAGUCGAGAAUCUUCCGCAAUGGACGAAAGUCUGACGGAGCGACGCCGCGUGCGGGAUGAAGGCCCUUGGGUUGUAAACCGCUGUCAGAGGGGAUGAAAUCAUGGUUGGCUAUCCUUCCAUGUUGACAGAGCCUCAGAGGAAGCACGGGCUAAGUACG
This 484-nucleotide ribosomal RNA is filed under the name uncultured Planctomyces sp. RNAcentral describes it as "bacterial SSU rRNA". It matches the Rfam family "Bacterial small subunit ribosomal RNA", at positions 29 to 505 of the family's 1533-position model. The record is from RNAcentral. Lineage: Bacteria; Pseudomonadati; Planctomycetota; Planctomycetia; Planctomycetales; Planctomycetaceae.